RNAcentral lists this microRNA (23 nucleotides) under Rattus norvegicus (Norway rat). RNAcentral describes it as "Rno-Mir-430-P4_3p (mature (guide))". Lineage: Eukaryota; Metazoa; Chordata; Mammalia; Rodentia; Muridae. The record is from RNAcentral.
UAAGUGCUUCCAGGUUUGAGUGU